GACGGAAUCCAAAUCUUUGUUCUGAAGCUUCUUGCACAGAGAAAGAGAUUUUAUUUUCCAGUGCUAGCAGCAAUUGUUUCAACUUCUGCCCUCUCAACUAUAAUGGCUAUUUUGUGGAGCUUCAAAAGAGAAACAGAGAAGACAAGUGGUGGUUAUCAUUUAUUAUAGUAGGAGCAGCUCUAUUGGUUCCCCUGUUCUGCUACUUAUGCUAUUCGAUAUGGAGAACAUGCAAGGCAAAAGUGGAGAGCAUAAGCAACCAAAGAAGCUAUUACAUGAGCUUGGGACGACGUUCCAC
Pistacia vera is the source of this 295-nucleotide long non-coding RNA. RefSeq lists it as uncharacterized. Lineage: Eukaryota; Viridiplantae; Streptophyta; Magnoliopsida; Sapindales; Anacardiaceae. The transcript has 3 exons. The record is from RefSeq and is a predicted model, not a curated record.